AUGGGUGACUAGUGGCAGAGUGAGGGAGGGAAGAGAUGACUAUUGGCAAAGUGAGGGAGGGAAGGGGUGACUAGUGACAGAGUGAGGGGAUGACUGGUGACAGAGUCACCCCAUCCUUCUCUCUGUCACUAGUCACUCCCUCCCUAACCCUGUCACUGUGUCACCCCCUCCCUCCCUCUGUCACUAGUCACCCCCUCCCUCACUGUCACUAAUCACCCCCUUCCUCACUCUGUCACUAGUCACCCCAU
This is a non-coding RNA of Pelobates cultripes (western spadefoot toad), 248 nucleotides long. NCBI's taxonomy places the organism in Eukaryota, Metazoa, Chordata, Amphibia, Anura, Pelobatidae. The record is from the annotation of a GenBank genome assembly.